CCUGUAUUGCCCUUUUGCGCGUAGCCCCCUGCAAGUUCCUCCGCCUCCCUCACGGGCCCUUCGCCGGAGCUUGCCAUAUGAAUGGUCAAACCCCGAUGGGGCUCGCCGCCGCCGCAGCCGCAGCAGUGAGGCCGUGCAGCCGGCGCCUCCUCUCGUCCGCCUCCACCGCGACGUCAAAGACGGCGGCGGGCACCGCGACCCCGCUCUUCCCCAGAUUGCCCCACCCGCACCACCCCCCGUGCGGCCGGCGCCUCCCCUUCCUGGUAUCUGCGGCGUCGCAGUCGCAGGCCUCGCAGACCGGCCCGGAUGCCCCGCCCACCCACAUCCCCUCCGACCCCCGCGCCGCCGUUUCCGGCAACCUCCCCUUCUUCGACCGC
Molecule: long non-coding RNA, 377 nt
Filed under: Setaria italica (foxtail millet)
Lineage: Eukaryota; Viridiplantae; Streptophyta; Magnoliopsida; Poales; Poaceae
Description: long non-coding RNA (SITA_LNC003634)
Source: RNAcentral